CCUGACCCUACAUGCACUGCAGGUGUGGCUGCUGUGUCACAUGUACAUUAGUAGAUGACUGAGAGGAGAGAGGCAAUAUCUAAGUUCAGUGCUCUGACUUAUGAACAUCUGAAUUAUUGGUAACUCAGAAG
This is a small nucleolar RNA of Apodemus sylvaticus (European woodmouse), 131 nucleotides long. RefSeq annotates it as small nucleolar RNA SNORA17. The record is from RefSeq and is a predicted model, not a curated record. Lineage: Eukaryota; Metazoa; Chordata; Mammalia; Rodentia; Muridae. The transcript has a single exon.